RNAcentral lists this non-coding RNA (30 nucleotides) under Mus musculus (house mouse). Lineage: Eukaryota; Metazoa; Chordata; Mammalia; Rodentia; Muridae. The record is from RNAcentral.
UGAGGUGAAAAAGAACAGAAAGCAAGACGG